Molecule: ribosomal RNA, 253 nt
Filed under: uncultured bacterium
Lineage: Bacteria
Description: partial 16S ribosomal RNA
Rfam family: Bacterial small subunit ribosomal RNA
Source: RNAcentral
UACGAAGGGGGCUAGCGUUGUUCGGAAUUACUGGGCGUAAAGCGCGCGCAGGCGGUUCUCCAAGUCAGUGGUGAAAGCCCGGAGCUCAACUCCGGAACUGCCAUUGAAACUGUUGAACUUGAGGACGAGAGAGGUGAGUGGAAUUCCCAGUGUAGAGGUGAAAUUCGUAGAUAUUGGGAAGAACACCGGUGGCGAAGGCGGCGACCUGGUCCUUGACUGACGCUGAGGCGCGAAAGCGUGGGGAGCAAACAGG